UCAAAUUAAUUUAUAUAAGCAGUCUCCCAUUUAUUAUUGCAAAUUGGUGACUACUUAUAUAAAUUAUCGGGGGGGGGGACUUAUAGAAGUUGCCAAAAGAAGGGACACAUGAUCAUAAUUCAUUUUAAAUUCAGGCCCAGUUCACAUAAUAUUGAGCAACACACAAGCAUGCAGUUCCAGGAAUAAGCUUGUGAUUUGUGUGCUCACAAAUGCAUCUGACACCUUGCCUACGUGAGGUCAUGAGAAUUACUACCAGCCCUAACGGUGAUGGCGUGAGGAAUGUUCAUGAAGAAGACAAAACUGUUCACUAGUCCUCAAACUUCUACAUCACUUCAGAAAACAUGAGAAUCAAAAUUGUUACUGAACACCAUUCAGCUCUCUUGGCUUGUAAACUGUUUUCUAUGGAGUUUGAGCGGUUAAUUUGUAUUCUUUCCUAUUUCUGAAGGGUUCUUUAAUAGCUGAAUCCAUGACUGAUUGUGUAGGAUCAGUUUGUGACAUCAAUCAGUGCACGGUUUAUUACUUUAAUUAACGUCUUCAGAAUAAUCUGCUACCUUUUUCUGUCACUAGGAGGCACUCUAGUUUUAAAAUUCACAUUACAUUUACCUUUUUAGUCUCAUAUGCUUGUGUAUAGGAAACAUUUUUAUUCCCUUCAGGGUGGUGAUUUGAAUUCUGAAAUAACUGUGAGUGUAAUUUGUAAUAAUUAGGUUUGGGUCCAAAUAACAGUUGUAACUGAUAGAAGCAAAAAGUAAAACAUCUCCCAGGUU
This is a long non-coding RNA of Podarcis raffonei (Aeolian wall lizard), 764 nucleotides long. RefSeq lists it as uncharacterized. The record is from RefSeq and is a predicted model, not a curated record. The transcript has 2 exons. Lineage: Eukaryota; Metazoa; Chordata; Lepidosauria; Squamata; Lacertidae.